AACGCACGAGACCUGCGGACCUGCGGAAGGAUCAUUACAUGAUUUGAGGGGGCUCACGCCCCCUCAUCCAACCCACAAACCCCGAGGAACUUUUAUGUCGAGUGGUUCGGCGCUCUCUUUGAGAGCCGCCCCUCAAACGCAUCGCAGGCUUUUCGUGAAGGUCUGAUGUGUCACAUCGUGAGUAUUAAAACUUUCAACAAUGGAUCUCU
RNAcentral lists this unclassified non-coding RNA (209 nucleotides) under soil metagenome. Its description in RNAcentral is "partial contains 5.8S ribosomal RNA, internal transcribed spacer 2, and large subunit ribosomal RNA". The record is from RNAcentral.